GCUUGUCUCAAAGAUUAAGCCAUGCAUGUCUAAGUAUAAACUGCUUAUACUGUGAAACUGCGAAUGGCUCAUUAAAUCAGUUAUAGUUUAUUUGAUGGUACCUACUACUCGGAUAACCGUAGUAAUUCUAGAGCUAAUACGUGCGCACAACCCGACUUCUGGAAGGGUCGUAUUUAUUAGAUAAAAGGCCAGCCGGGCUUUGCCCGACCUGCGGUGAAUCAUGAUAACUUCACGAAUCGUAUGGCCUUGUGCCGACGAUGUUUCAUUCAAAUUUCUGCCCUAUCAACUUUCGAUGGUAGUGUAUUGGACUACCAUGGCAGUAACGGGUAACGAAGAAUUAGGGUUCGAUUUCGGAGAGGGAGCAUGAGAAACGGCUACCACAUCUAAGGAAGGCAGCAGG
This 400-nucleotide ribosomal RNA is filed under the name Chlamydomonas reinhardtii. RNAcentral describes it as "partial small subunit ribosomal RNA". It matches the Rfam family "Eukaryotic small subunit ribosomal RNA", at positions 30 to 432 of the family's 1831-position model. The record is from RNAcentral. Lineage: Eukaryota; Viridiplantae; Chlorophyta; Chlorophyceae; Chlamydomonadales; Chlamydomonadaceae.